RNAcentral lists this ribosomal RNA (100 nucleotides) under Microcystis sp. K60-l. RNAcentral's name for it is "partial 16S ribosomal RNA". It matches the Rfam family "Bacterial small subunit ribosomal RNA", at positions 1434 to 1533 of the family's 1533-position model. Lineage: Bacteria; Bacillati; Cyanobacteriota; Cyanophyceae; Chroococcales; Microcystaceae. The record is from RNAcentral.
CUCAACCGCAAGGAGGGGGAUGCCUAAGGCAGGGCUAGUGACUGGGGUGAAGUCGUAACARGGUAGCCGUACCGGAAGGUGUGGCUGGAUCACCUCCUUA